This 705-nucleotide ribosomal RNA is filed under the name Klebsiella variicola. Its description in RNAcentral is "bacterial SSU rRNA". It matches the Rfam family "Bacterial small subunit ribosomal RNA", at positions 800 to 1506 of the family's 1533-position model. Lineage: Bacteria; Pseudomonadati; Pseudomonadota; Gammaproteobacteria; Enterobacterales; Enterobacteriaceae. The record is from RNAcentral.
CGAAGGUCGAUGUCGAUUGGAGGUUGUGCCCUUGAGGCGUGGCUUCCGGAGCUAACGCGUUAAAUCGACCGCCUGGGGAGUACGGCCGCAAGGUUAAAACUCAAAUGAAUUGACGGGGGCCCGCACAAGCGGUGGAGCAUGUGGUUUAAUUCGAUGCAACGCGAAGAACCUUACCUGGUCUUGACAUCCACAGAACUUUCCAGAGAUGGUUUGGUGCCUUCGGGAACUGUGAGACAGGUGCUGCAUGGCUGUCGUCAGCUCGUGUUGUGAAAUGUUGGGUUAAGUCCCGCAACGAGCGCAACCCUUAUCCUUUGUUGCCAGCGGUCAGGCCGGGAACUCAAAGGAGACUGCCAGUGAUAAACUGGAGGAAGGUGGGGAUGACGUCAAGUCAUCAUGGCCCUUACGACCAGGGCUACACACGUGCUACAAUGGCAUAUACAAAGAGAAGCGACCUCGCGAGAGCAAGCGGACCUCAUAAAGUAUGUCGUAGUCCGGAUUGGAGUCUGCAACUCGACUCCAUGAAGUCGGAAUCGCUAGUAAUCGUAGAUCAGAAUGCUACGGUGAAUACGUUCCCGGGCCUUGUACACACCGCCCGUCACACCAUGGGAGUGGGUUGCAAAAGAAGUAGGUAGCUUAACCUUCGGGAGGGCGCUUACCACUUUGUGAUUCAUGACUGGGGUGAAGUCUCAAAGGGGGGGCAAAAAA